CCUACGGGUGACAGCAGUGGGGAAUAUUGGGCAAUGGGCGCAAGCCUGACCCAGCAACGCCGCGUGAAGGAAGAAGGCUUUCGGGUUGUAAACUUCUUUUCUCAGGGGCGUAGAAAGUGACGGUACCUGAGGAAUAUGCCACGGCUAACUACGUGCCAGCAGCCGCGGUAAUACGUAGGUGGCAAGCGUUAUCCGGAUUUAUUGGGUGUAAAGGGCGUGUAGGCGGAAGGGCAAGUCAGUUGUGAAAGCUCAGGGCUCAACCCUGAGCCUGCAGUUGAAACUGGGUUUCUUGAGUGCUGGAGAGGCAAUCGGAAUUCGGGGUGUAGCGGUGAAAUGCGUAGAUAUACGGAGGAACACCAGUGGCGAAGGCGGAUUGCUGGACAGUAACUGACGCUGAGGCGCGAAAGCGUGGGGAGCAAACAGGAUUAGAUACCCCGGUAGUC
Molecule: ribosomal RNA, 443 nt
Filed under: uncultured bacterium
Lineage: Bacteria
Description: partial 16S ribosomal RNA
Rfam family: Bacterial small subunit ribosomal RNA
Source: RNAcentral